GACGAACGCUGGCGGCGUGCUUAACACAUGCAAGUCGAACGGAAAGGCCCUGCUUUUGUGGGGUGCUCGAGUGGCGAACGGGUGAGUAACACGUGAGUAACCUGCCCUUGACUUUGGGAUAACUUCAGGAAACUGGGGCUAAUACCGGAUAGGAGCUCCUGCUGCAUGGUGGGGGUUGGAAAGUUUCGGCGGUUGGGGAUGGACUCGCGGCCUAUCAGCUUGUUGGUGGGGUAGUGGCUUACCAAGGCUUUGACGGGUAGCCGGCCUGGGAGGGUGACCGGCCACGAUGGGACUGAGAUACGGCCCAGACUCAUACGGGGGGCAGCAGGGGGGAAUAUUGCACAAUGGGCGGAAGCCUGAUGCAGCAACGCCGCGUGCGGGAUGACGGCCUUCGGGUUGUAAACCGCUUUCGCCUGUAACGAAGCGUGAGUGACGGUAAUGGGUAAAGAAGCACCGGCUAACUACGUG
Molecule: ribosomal RNA, 468 nt
Filed under: uncultured bacterium
Lineage: Bacteria
Description: partial 16S ribosomal RNA
Rfam family: Bacterial small subunit ribosomal RNA
Source: RNAcentral